GUGUCCAUAGCUCAGUUGAAUAGAGCAACAGGUUGCGGUCCUGUAGGCCGGGGGUUUGAGUCCCUCUGGGCACACCA
RNAcentral lists this transfer RNA (77 nucleotides) under Helicobacter sp. Its description in RNAcentral is "tRNA-Arg". It matches the Rfam family "tRNA". From Rfam's summary of the family: Transfer RNA (tRNA) molecules are approximately 80 nucleotides in length. Their secondary structure includes four short double-helical elements and three loops (D, anti-codon, and T loops). The record is from RNAcentral. Lineage: Bacteria; Pseudomonadati; Campylobacterota; Epsilonproteobacteria; Campylobacterales; Helicobacteraceae.